GAAGGGACUACGCAGUGGUACACGGCAGUUAUCGUCUCGUACAACGAUAACACAAGGGUAAGUCUGGAUUUUCUUUUUUUUUUUUUUCGUCCGUAAUGGUUACAUCAGACAUAAAUAGCUGACCUUGGAACGAUGGAGCAGUGGGUGCGGUCCAUCGUAAGAAGGGCAAAACCGGUCGUGUCUACUCGAAAUAUAAGUUAGAGCGUGACCUAGUUUGUUUUCUCGGAAAUGAUUGUCAUUCUGAGCCAGAUGAGCCAUCGACUGCGCUUCCAUUUCCUCUAGUUCCGUGAUGCUCUGCCAUAUCCGGCUGUUGUAUCGUUAACGGUUGUACUGCAGUUGGUGAUUCUCGUCCGUGACUCAGUUCCUACCAUUUCGGUACGAAUUCUAUUCGCUUUAUCAAUGGAAAGCGAUCUGCCACUUCAUGCCUCACCUGCUACGUUCAUUACGUAUAGGCUUUAUGAGGAUCCAGGUGCACAUUCGUCAGGUGACAUUGCACUCAACAGCGAUUGUUCUCUCGUAUCGCCUACAUCAUGGAUAUGGAAAUGAAAUUUUAGAACGAGUUUCCGUACACGAUUCCAUUUUAAAUCCUGAAAGAAUGUGUUAGGCCGACCAUCCAGAAUAUUUAAAUAUAUAUAUAUAUUUUUUUUGAGGGCUACCAAAACGGAAGGAUUUGAAUUCCCGAGUAAUUAUGAUAAUUAUCAGUUUAUCCCGGUAAAAAGAUAUUAUUAAUUGGAAGGAUUUCUGAAGUAAGAAUUAAAUCUUGGACUUCGUUAGGAAGAUUAAAAUCAGUUAGUCUCGGUGCCAAUUGUAAGAGGAUUAAAAACAAUGGAAAGACUGCCAACUCGGACGAUUGCAAAUCUCUCUCUCUCUCGCUCUCUCGCACGAGACUUUGCACCAAGAACGCGUAAUUUCUUAAUUAGUUAUGUGUCAAAAUGAUGCAAUUCCUUCCUGGGUAAGCGUCCUUAAACGAAAACUGCAUGAUCGAACCUUUACACGACCAAAGGCGUAUUCGUUUUCAUUCGACCUUCAACACACCACAGACGAAUGCGUCACGGUUGUUCAACCAACUGAAAGCAAUCCUAGGAAACUCCAAUCUAUCUCAUGAAUAAUACACUAAAGGGUAGUAUGUAAAUUUAUCCGGGGCAAAGAAUUUUCCCUCCCCCCUUUUUUCUUUUCUUAAAACUGGACUUUUGACUCGAUAUAUUGCCCUUGACUCGCGCGGUUUGUGUCACUGGACUGACUGACAUCUCUCUCUUUUGAAGGUCAAAAAAAAAGGAUGGCAAACUUCUUUAAAAUUUUAAAGAACAAGAUAUAUAUAUAUUUUUUUUCCACUACGAAAAUAACAUAAAUAUACGGAAUUUGUCGUAACGCGUGUGGUUAUUUACAGUAGCGUGACUCAACCCGCAUCUUAUCUGUUUCCAUGUGGGAUUUAUUAUUUAUCUAAGGCGAUUAUGACUCAACGAUUUCGAUACUUCUUGUUUUUUUUUACUUUAAAAACAUUUUUUUAUAUCGUAAUCAUUUGCUUAAGUUCUGGACUCCAUUGUCUGAAUGGUUAUUAAUCGAACAUGUUAACGGGUAUUAACCAGCAAUCUAGUACUCGAGUACCUUUCUAACGUACGAGUACUAGAUUGUUACUCGUACGUUAUAGAAAGGUAGGAACGAAUAUCUCCCUCGGUAAGAGAGAGAAUAACUUAUACUUGAAAUUUUAUUGUUACAACUUAUUUUUGAUUUACAAUGGCGCGUUUAACCUUCGACGUGCCCCUAGGCUCUCAAACAGAAGAAUAUUAGUUUCUUAAAAAAGCAUCGAACAAUGAACAAUAGAAUUCGUACUGACUUAAUAGACGUGAUUGACAAGUUAUACGGUGUUACCAAUAACAGACCAGGCAUUGUCUAACAGCUAUCACCUUUCGGAAUCUUCUCUCGGUAGAUAGUCUAAGGAUUAUAUUUUCGUAACGUAACUGCAUAGAAUUUAUUUUAAUAUAAUAAGAAUCGCGAGUAAAUUUAGUGCGUGAACUCAUACGGGCGAAAGAGCAGUGCCAGUUUUCUCAGAGUUAUUAAAAGAAAUUCACUUUCGUUGCCAUAAAUUUCCGCAUUUUUUUUUUGUUUUUUUGCCUCUUUCGACGGGAGGCAAAAGUUAAAAAUCUCUUCGGAUUCCGUAAAAAUUAAAAGAGAAAAAAAAUGGAGGGGGGAACGUUACAUAAAUGCAAGCGUUUUGCUUAUCUUCAGAUUAUCAUUCCUGUUGGCAAACUGGAUGUAUAGAUAAAAGUACAAGAGAAAGAGAGAGAGGAAGGGGGAAAAAAGCAAAAUUAGUUUAUUCUUUAAAAUGCCGGAGGAAGUAUAGAAGACUGUUUUAUUAUAUAUUCAAUUUUGGUAUUUUUUUUUUUAUGGUAUUUUUCGUGAACCAUCGUUCUGAUAUUUAAUUCCUGCACCAGAAGAGUAUUUCCAGUCUGUUUAUGCUAAUUUAAUAACUCGCCUUUCUCUUUCGACAGCGAAAAGAAGUAACAUAAUUGUUCUCUCGGAGUUAAUAAGGAGUGAUCGUGCCUGAAUACAACUGUGACGCAUGCAACAUUUCCCACUCUUUCUCUACCGUGCGUGUGUGACAUGUGGGCCAAGCCCUAUCUCAGCAGUUGGUUGGUUUUUGUUCCACCGUCCAAUGCCGAGAAGACACACACACACUCUCUCAUGCUCUUUCGCUAGCGAAUGUUGCCAUUAUCGUACCGCGUGUUGUUGUUGUUCUAAUUGUAUAUGCAAAGAACGAAAUUUUUGGAUGUAAACAGUGUUUUUACUUUUUUUAAAACAGGAAUUAACUCUGACUGACGAUACUGUGCUCGAAGAACACAAUGAAGACCCAUGCCUGGU
RNAcentral lists this long non-coding RNA (2859 nucleotides) under Androctonus crassicauda. The record is from RNAcentral. Lineage: Eukaryota; Metazoa; Arthropoda; Arachnida; Scorpiones; Buthidae.